This 301-nucleotide ribosomal RNA is filed under the name uncultured bacterium. RNAcentral's name for it is "partial 16S ribosomal RNA". It matches the Rfam family "Bacterial small subunit ribosomal RNA", at positions 509 to 808 of the family's 1533-position model. The record is from RNAcentral.
CAGCAGCCGCGGUAAUACGUAGGUCCCGAGCGUUGUCCGGAUUUAUCGGGCGUAAAGCGAGCGCAGGCGGUUAGAUAAGUCUGAAGUUAAAGGCUGUGGCUUAACCAUAGUACGCUUUGGAAACUGUUUAACUUGAGUGCAGAAGGGGAGAGUGGAAUUCCAUGUGUAGCGGUGAAAUGCGUAGAUAUAUGGAGGAACACCGGUGGCGAAAGCGGCUCUCUGGUCUGUAACUGACGCUGAGGCUCGAAAGCGUGGGGAGCGAACAGGAUUAGAUACCCCGGUAGUCCCUGUCUCUUAUACA